CACGUAGUUAGCCGGGGCUUCUUCUGGAGGUACCGUCACCCUCUGGGCUAUUCACCCGAGUGGCUUCGUCCCUCCUGAAAGCGGUUUACAACCCGAAGGCCUUCUUCCCGCACGCGGCGUCGCUGCGUCAGGCUUUCGCCCAUUGCGCAAGAUUCCCCACUGCUGCCUCCCGUAGGAGUCUGGGCCGUGUCUCAGUCCCAGUGUGGCUGAUCGUCCUCUCAGACCAGCUAUGGAUCGUCGCCUUGGUGGGCCGUUACCCCGCCAACAAGCUAAUCCACCGCGGACCCAUCCUCGGCCAGAGGCCGAAGCUACCUUUCCCACGUUCCCCGCAGGGAUGUGGGGCUAGUCCGGCAUUAACUCCCGGGUUUCCCCGGGCUAUUCCGGUGCCGAGGGCAGGUUAUCCACGUGUUACUCACCCGUUCGCCGCUGUCCCCAGGGCCCGAAGCCCUGGUUCCUCGCUCGACUUGCAUGUGUAGGCGCGCCGCCAGCGUUCGUCCUGAGCCCGAGGAGUCAACGUCU
This 519-nucleotide ribosomal RNA is filed under the name uncultured bacterium. Its description in RNAcentral is "partial 16S ribosomal RNA". The record is from RNAcentral.